GAUGAACGCUGGCGGCGUGCUUAACACAUGCAAGUUGAACGAAGUGGCGGAUGGGCGAGUAACACGUGAGGAACCUGCCUUUCACAGGGGAAUAACACUGGGAAACCAGUGCUAAUACCGCAUAGUGAAAGAUGGCCUCGCGCCUGAUUAGCUAGUAGGUGAGGUAACGGCUCACCGAGGUGAUGAUCAGUAGCCGGACUGAAGGUUGAACGGGCGCAAUGGGACUGCGAUACGGACCAAACUCCUACGGGAGGCAGUAGGGGCGAAUAUGGCACAAUGGGGAAACCCUAAUGCAGCAACGCCGCGUGCGGAAUGACGGCCUUCGGGUUGUAAACCGCUUCAGCCAAGACGCGGUAGUGGCAGAAGAAGCACCGGCUAACUACGUGCCAGCAGCCGCGGUAAUAC
RNAcentral lists this ribosomal RNA (405 nucleotides) under uncultured bacterium. Its description in RNAcentral is "partial 16S ribosomal RNA". It matches the Rfam family "Bacterial small subunit ribosomal RNA", at positions 28 to 526 of the family's 1533-position model. The record is from RNAcentral.